Molecule: ribosomal RNA, 274 nt
Filed under: uncultured bacterium
Lineage: Bacteria
Description: partial 16S ribosomal RNA
Rfam family: Bacterial small subunit ribosomal RNA
Source: RNAcentral
AUACGGAGGUUGCAAGCGUUAUUCGGAAUCACUGGGCGUAAAGGACGCGUAGGCGGGUUGGCAAGUCAGAUGUGAAAUCCUACAGCUUAACUGUAGAACUGCAUUUGAAACUGCUAACCUAGAGUAUGGGAGGGGGAGAUGGAAUUAGUGGUGUAGGGGUAAAAUCCGUAGAUAUCACUAGGAAUACCGAAAGCGAAGGCGAUCUCCUGGAACAUAACUGACGCUAAGGCGUGAAAGCGUGGGGAGCAAACAGGAUUAGAAACCCUUGUAGUCC